This 1985-nucleotide long non-coding RNA is filed under the name Rattus norvegicus (Norway rat). RNAcentral describes it as "long non-coding RNA NONRATT001568". Lineage: Eukaryota; Metazoa; Chordata; Mammalia; Rodentia; Muridae. The record is from RNAcentral.
ACAAGAAAGAGAAGGAAUACCAGGAAAUCGAGGAGCAGGAGAGUUUGGUUGGAAGCUUUGCAACAGAUGCAUCAGCCCCUAAUGGAGAACAGGAUCCAUGUCCAGCUUAAUUGUCUCCAGAGGAAACAGUUUCCAGCCGCAGUUUCAAGUACAUCUUUCUCUUUGUUUUCUCUACUUCUCCCUUCCUAAGUACUGAAGUGACCCUUGCAAUAGGAAGAAAGCAGGCAUUACAUCCCUGGAAGUAUUUGUUUAGACCUCUGCACCAGGAAAUUAAAGGAGCCAUUUUAAUGGGUAUGGGGAGGGGUAUGAUUCAUCUGGAAAAAGCUGGACUGGGACUGAGCCCCGGGAUGUGUGUGUGUGUGUGUGUGUGUGUGUGUGUGUGUGUGUGUGUGUCCACUCUCAUAGUUGUCAUUAUCUGAAUGCAUGUGUGUAAAAAGAGAUUAGAUUUGGAGAUUGUGCAUUUAGUCUGAAUUUGAAAGGCUUUCCAGUUUGUGAGCUGAAAAGGUUUGUGCUCUAAGUACAUUACUUCUUUUAUUUUGUUUUCAAAGAAGCCCUCUGGAUUUCAAUCUUGAGGCAAAUGUGUCCCUGAAAUGCCACAGGAGGCCUACAUGUUCCCUACUCUUUAGCUUUAAGGACUUGGUGUUGAUUGAUAGUACCCUUCCCCCUGAGUCAGCUCCCAGGCAUGUGAAGGAGAGGCGGGUGGGGUUUAUACAAAUUCCAUUUCCCAACUUUCUCACAGCUAAUCUAGAUUAGUCUUGGGCUUCUGAACAGUGCAAACAAGUCCUCAGGGAAAAGAAUAUGUAACUUAUAAUUUUCUGUUAGGGGGUGAAGGAUGAAGAAACAGUAAGGAAACAAACAAUAAAUUGAGGAUAAAAACUGGGGUUCUGGAGACGAUGCGAGUAAUCCAGGAAAGUUUGAACUCUCAGAUCUGUCAGUUAACAGCGUUAUAAAUGAAGAACUGAACAGAGCUCUGGUUUGGACAGAUCAAACAGUAUGGUUUCAUGUUUAUGUGUCAAAAAUAUAACUCCUUCCUCUCUGUGGAUGUCUUUAUCCUUGUCUUCUCACCCCAGCCGAGGAUGCAGAGAGAUGCACACAAACACCCUGUAUUGCAACAAGAAGCAUUUAUUUUCCUAGGGGCGAAACUGGGCUUAAACGCUAGUUCCUCCCUAACCCUAAACGUACGGGGAAAGUGCGGUCUUCUGUCUGCUAGGAUUUGCUGUUUCACAUUGCUAGGAAGAGGACUGAGGUGAUUAAAAACGAAACAAGGUUAGCUGGAAAAGGCUGUGACAUGUGUUUCAGAUCCGCGAUGGCUUCCAUGGGGGCGUCCAGCAGGCUGCAUGAUUGACACCUAGCAAUAGUUGGGGGUUUGCUCAAUUUUCACCUCUGAGAAUUUAAUUCUCUACAACAUGAAAAUUCCUCCACUGCUGUCUUAGAAGUUAUGUAUCUAUUCACCACAGCACAUCUUCAGUGAGCUAUCUUCUAUGAAAGACGAUGUGUUCUCUCUUCAAUAUUUACAAUCAAGGGCCUGUGCACACAGUAGGCCCACCUGAAGAGCUCCAAGUGUCUCAAUCUCUGGGAAUGGGAGUAAAUUACUCAUUCUUUUUCAGUUGAGUAAUUUAUGAGAGAAAUGAAUGACUGAAUUUGAACUCUGCCCUACCAACUGCCCAGCCAAGGGGGUUGAUGUAUAACCUCUCCAUCAAACCUGCUUCUUGAACAAUAAAAUGUUCUCCUUAACCUUUGUAUGCUUUAUGGGUUUGGGGUGCAUUUUAAUGUUUCAUUGAAGACAAUCACAUUUCUAAACAUACUGGCUUCAUUUUGUAAAUUCUUUAAGAAUUACUAAGUCUGCAAAACAAGGCACAGCAGAAGACUUCCAGACCUUUAAUGCAGAAACUUCCUGUUAAAGUGUCUAAUAUUUGUCCCAUAAAUAUGUAGCUCUACUAACAAAAAUGUGUAUAAAUAUUCAUUAAAGUGUGUACUUAGCAAAA